GCCAGUGUGGCAUAGUGGUUUUGAGUGUUGGACUAUGACUCUGGAAACCAGGGUUAAAUCCCUACUCUGCCA
Molecule: non-coding RNA, 72 nt
Organism: Phrynosoma platyrhinos (Desert horned lizard)
Lineage: Eukaryota; Metazoa; Chordata; Lepidosauria; Squamata; Phrynosomatidae
Source: the annotation of a GenBank genome assembly